UACAGAGGGUGCGAGCGUUAAUCGGAAUUACUGGGCGUAAAGCGUGCGUAGACGGUUAUUUAAGUCGGGUGUGAAAGCCCCGGGCUCAACCUGGGAAUUGCAUUCGAGACUGAAUAGCUAGGGUACGGUAGAGGGAAGCGGAAUUUCCGGUGCAGCGGUGAAAUGCGUAGAUAUCGGAAGGAACAUCAGUGGCGAAAGCGGCUUCCUGGACCAGUACCGACGUUCAGGCACGAAAGCGUGGGGAGCAAACAGG
Molecule: ribosomal RNA, 253 nt
Filed under: uncultured bacterium
Lineage: Bacteria
Description: partial 16S ribosomal RNA
Rfam family: Bacterial small subunit ribosomal RNA
Source: RNAcentral